CCUACGGGGGGCUGCAGUGAGGAAUAUUGGUCAAUGGGCGCGAGCCUGAACCAGCCAAGUCGCGUGAGGGAUGAAGGUUCUAUGGAUCGUAAACCUCUUUUAUAAGGGAAUAAAGUGCGGGACGUGUCCCGUUUUGUAUGUACCUUAUGAAUAAGGAUCGGCUAACUCCGUGCCAGCAGCCGCGGUAAUACGGAGGAUCCGAGCGUUAUCCGGAUUUAUUGGGUUUAAAGGGAGCGUAGAUGGAUGUUUAAGUCAGUUGUGAAAGUUUGCGGCUCAACCGUAAAAUUGCAGUUGAUACUGGUUUCCUUGAGUGCAGUUGAGGCAGGCGGAAUUCGUGGUGUAGCGGUGAAAUGCUUAGAUAUCACGAAGAACCCCGAUUGCGAAGGCAGCUUGCUAAACUGUAACUGACGUUCAUGCUCGAAAG
Molecule: ribosomal RNA, 424 nt
Filed under: uncultured Porphyromonas sp.
Lineage: Bacteria; Pseudomonadati; Bacteroidota; Bacteroidia; Bacteroidales; Porphyromonadaceae
Description: bacterial SSU rRNA
Rfam family: Bacterial small subunit ribosomal RNA
Source: RNAcentral